CCUACGGGAGGCAGCAGUGGGGAAUAUUGGACAAUGGGGGGAACCCUGAUCCAGCCAUGCCGCGUGUGUGAAGAAGGCCCUCGGGUGGUAAAGCACUUUCAGUGAGGAAGAACGCCUGGUGGUUAAUACCCAUCAGGAAAGACAUCACUCACAGAAGAAGCACCGGCUAACUCCGUGCCAGCAGCCGCGGUAAUACGGAGGGUGCGAGCGUUAAUCGGAAUUACUGGGCGUAAAGCGCGCGUAGGUGGCUUGAUAAGCCGGUUGUGAAAGCCCCGGGCUCAACCUGGGAACGGCAUCCGGAACUGUCAAGCUAGAGUGCAGGAGAGGAAGGUAGGAUUCCCGGUGUAGCGGUGAAAUGCGUAGAGAUCGGGAGGAAUACCAGUGGCGAAGGCGGCCUUCUGGACUGACACUGACACUGAGGUGCGAAAGCGUGGGUAGCAAACAGGAUUAGAUACCCCUGUAGUC
Molecule: ribosomal RNA, 465 nt
Filed under: Vreelandella stevensii
Lineage: Bacteria; Pseudomonadati; Pseudomonadota; Gammaproteobacteria; Oceanospirillales; Halomonadaceae
Description: partial 16S ribosomal RNA
Rfam family: Bacterial small subunit ribosomal RNA
Source: RNAcentral